GAAAGCCCACAUUGUUCAAGUGAGAUUUAUGUGUUAUAUAGUGUGUUUGCAUAGAGAACUUAUUUUUCCCACUUUAUCGAAUGCGUCUCAGUUUUACCGACGUUCCUGAAUGCACCACCUGUGUGCAUGCUUCUGCUCCGUUAGUGUUCUCCUUUCUUCCAUGCGGUCAAGAGCAGACAGUUUUCCUUCACCUCAUGCAGCAUUAGCUAUCCUGAUUCCCUGUUUUCCCGCUGUGUGUAAAUGAGAAGUGACCACAGCUAAAUAAAUGAAGGAUACUUCAA
This is a long non-coding RNA of Seriola aureovittata, 281 nucleotides long. RefSeq lists it as uncharacterized. The record is from RefSeq and is a predicted model, not a curated record. The transcript is spliced from 2 exons. NCBI's taxonomy places the organism in Eukaryota, Metazoa, Chordata, Actinopteri, Carangiformes, Carangidae.